RNAcentral lists this ribosomal RNA (253 nucleotides) under uncultured bacterium. RNAcentral's name for it is "partial 16S ribosomal RNA". It matches the Rfam family "Bacterial small subunit ribosomal RNA", at positions 524 to 776 of the family's 1533-position model. The record is from RNAcentral.
UACGUAGGGGGCAAGCGUUGUCCGGAAUCAUUGGGCGUAAAGAGCGCGUAGGCGGUCCGGUAAGUCCGCUCUGAAAGUCCGGGGCUCAACCCCGGGAGGCGGGCGGAUACUGUCGGGCUAGAGUCCGGAAGAGGCGAGUGGAAUUCCUGGUGUAGCGGUGAAAUGCGCAGAUAUCAGGAGGAACACCGGUGGCGAAGGCGGGUCUCUGGGCAGUAACUGACGCUGAGGAGCGAAAGCGUGGGGAGCGAACAGG